UAGUGUUAUAGCUCUUUUAUUAAUUUGUCUAGCAGGUUUUCCAGUCUCCACUGGAAGAUUACA
This 63-nucleotide small nuclear RNA is filed under the name Otolemur garnettii (small-eared galago). RNAcentral describes it as "U7 small nuclear RNA". It matches the Rfam family "U7 small nuclear RNA". From Rfam's summary of the family: Animal histone pre-mRNAs are spliced by a different mechanism than nuclear pre-mRNAs and self-splicing introns. This processing involves the U7 snRNP, which contains only one RNA species: U7. Lineage: Eukaryota; Metazoa; Chordata; Mammalia; Primates; Galagidae. The record is from Rfam by way of RNAcentral.